CGUUGCAUUAUGUCUCAGUAUCCAAUUUCAGGUUUAUAGGAAACAUCUGAGUAUUCUAUCUUCUAAUUGAAUAAUUGUACUUCUGUAAUAUUUCUUCUCAUAGUCUCGGUGUUGGGCCUAGGUAAACACAGUGAUUUUAGCUUCAGUGCUAGUGGAGAGAAAUUAUAUUCCCUCAUGUUUACUCAAUGUUAUUAUUCUCUUUGAGACGGUUCAAUGAGAAGUAGGACUUCCAACAAAAAUUUGUCCCUCCUGCAUCAUGCAAGUGUCUCUUCUUUACCUCAAUUAAUUUUUGAUAUGACAAAGACUCAAAUAAACUGCUGCUGAACUAAAUAGUGUAACAAGUAAAAUGAUAUUUGAUUAACUCCACACUGAAGACUUGUUUAUUAUUUUUUAACGUAUACAGAUCAAGGAAUUCAGAUGUACUUGCACAGAAGUUUCAGCUCAUUCUGCUUUUUCCUUAAACUCACUGAAGGAGAGAUUGUCUCCGGUGACAUCUUCAUGAUUUUAGAAAAGCUGAUGUAGACAGUACUUCUCAUAUUUUUCAUGUAUAACCUCAACUAUUUUGGAGUCAUUGUCAGCAAAAGUAUCUUACAGAAGCAUCAUUUAGGCUGUUCUGUUUUGUCAUGAAAGGAUAAUCAUGGCUUGAGAACAAGAUCCGCUUUCAUCCUUCCUCUAGCUUGUCAGUGCUGCAACUACUUCUUCCUUCAGGCUAAAAUACUGUGAUACAAAAAGGUCUUGAAAUGUAAUGUCAUACUGAAGCUAAAGAAUUAUACCUAUUCAAGAUAGGAUUUCAUAUGGGAUUCAAGCUUUUCAGUACUGAACUUCAAGGAGUGGAGUGUAACAAAGAGAAUCUGCAUCAUCACUCUUUCCCACCUGCCCUUAUGUGACAGCCCUCUUGGAGCCUUUUAUUCUCCAUGCUGAACAGCCAUAGCUCUCUCACCCUGUCCUCGCAGGGCAAGUGUUCCAUCCCUUGGAUCCAUCCCAUGGACCAACAGGUCUAUGCCUCUCCUGUUCCCAGGACUCCACAUCUGGCCGCAAUACUCCAGCCUUCGGACUACUAUCCUUCAUUCAAAGAGAGGAGAGAGAAAGAAAAAAAGGAAGCAACUUUCAGUUCCCGGUAGAGCACCUGGAGGAACUGCUGGAUCCAGAUGUUCUUCGUAAACAUCAAAGGAAACACUAUUUUAUGUGAAAGUGGUAUAAUAAAUGAAAUAAGUGAAAACUAUCUGCAAUUCUAAUACAUGCUGAACAUCUGGACUAUUGCAUUUCCUUCAUAUAUGAAUGAGGUCAGUUGGUAUCACCAUGUGCGGUGUUUGAAAAUUGUGAUGCUACUUGUGUUGCCUGCUCCGUAUCCCAAAAAAUCCCAGAGCUGCAUUUCUAAAGACUAACAGUUUCAUUAAAAGAAGAAAAAUUAAAAAGUUGUACUUACAGCCAGAUGUUCAUUUUACAUAACUUUGAAGAAUUUCACCACCACAUGAAAAAUGUCCUUAAAACUCUUCUUCAUUCACCUGGUUCUGCAUGUAUUCUGCCUCUACCAGGGAUAAUUUUAUCCAAUGUUGGCUUCCUUUAUAUCUUUUACUUUCCUUGGAUG
Molecule: long non-coding RNA, 1588 nt
Organism: Gallus gallus (chicken)
Lineage: Eukaryota; Metazoa; Chordata; Aves; Galliformes; Phasianidae
Source: Ensembl